RNAcentral lists this ribosomal RNA (267 nucleotides) under uncultured Glomus. RNAcentral's name for it is "partial small subunit ribosomal RNA". It matches the Rfam family "Eukaryotic small subunit ribosomal RNA", at positions 605 to 877 of the family's 1831-position model. Lineage: Eukaryota; Fungi; Glomeromycota; Glomeromycetes; Glomerales; Glomeraceae. The record is from RNAcentral.
UAAAGUUGUCGCAGUUAAAAAGCUCGUAGUUGAAUUUCGGGAUCAGCAGGUUGGUCUUGCCACUGGUAUGUACUAGCUUGGUGAUUCCUCCUUCUUGUAGAACCGUAAUGCCAUUAAUUUGGUGUUGCGGGGAAACAGGACUGUUACUUUGAAAAAAUUAGAGUGUUUAAAGCAGGCUAGCGCCUGAAUACAUUAGCAUGGAAUAAUGAAAUAGGACGUUCGAACCUAUUGUGUUGGUUUCUAGGAUUGACGUAAUGAUUAAUAGGG